UAUUCAUUCCGCUCCAGCAAUCUUCUUCUUCAAUGCUUCAAUGUCAUCAGCUAGUUCCUUUCUGCUUGACUGACGAAGGUGGAAAAAGAACGUAACAAUAACGUUUUUUCAGUUGACAUGUAGUUGCAGAGCCAAUCAAGAAUUAAGGUUUCUAUGGUUUCUUAGAACUCAUAGAAACCUUAAUUCCAUCAAGGGUGAAGAAGCUUGAGAAAGCAUCAAAAUUUUAAGUUUUGAUGGAAUCCAAAACCUUGUUUGAAAUAAAGCACGGUUCUCUUUUCAACUAACCUUGAAGAGUAGAUAUCGGUACACGAACCACCCUGUAUAUCCAAGCCCUACCAACUCCAGUAUCUUCGGAAGCUGAGGAGAAGAUGGAUGGAGAGUGAGUGUGAUUUGAAAGAAGUAUUUUGUGUCGUUAACAAGAGAAAACAUCAAAUAGCAAUGAUGAUGCCGAUCAGUGAAUGUAGAUGAUAGAAAAAUAGAGAAGCACGAGUUUGAUGGAAU
This 501-nucleotide long non-coding RNA is filed under the name Cucumis sativus (cucumber). RNAcentral's name for it is "long non-coding RNA (CSAT_LNC000904)". The record is from RNAcentral. Lineage: Eukaryota; Viridiplantae; Streptophyta; Magnoliopsida; Cucurbitales; Cucurbitaceae.